Molecule: ribosomal RNA, 889 nt
Filed under: Allophlebia ludoviciana
Lineage: Eukaryota; Fungi; Basidiomycota; Agaricomycetes; Polyporales; Meruliaceae
Description: Phlebia ludoviciana partial large subunit ribosomal RNA
Rfam family: Eukaryotic large subunit ribosomal RNA
Source: RNAcentral
GCAUAUCAAUAAGCGGAGGAAAAGAAACUAACAAGGAUUCCCCUAGUAACUGCGAGUGAAGCGGGAAAAGCUCAAAUUUAAAAUCUGGCAGUCUUUGGCUGUCCGAGUUGUAAUCUGGAGAAGUGUUUUCCGCGCUGGACCGUGUACAAGUCUCUUGGAACAGAGCGUCAUAGAGGGUGAGAAUCCCGUCUUUGACACGGACUACCAGUGCUUUGUGAUGCGCUUUCAAAGAGUCGAGUUGUUUGGGAAUGCAGCUCAAAAUGGGUGGUAAAUUCCAUCUAAAGCUAAAUAUUGGCGAGAGACCGAUAGCGAACAAGUACCGUGAGGGAAAGAUGAAAAGCACUUUGGAAAGAGAGUUAAACAGUACGUGAAAUUGCUGAAAGGGAAACGCUUGAAGUCAGUCGCGUCGUCUAGAACUCAACCUGGCUUUUGCUUGGUGCACUUUCUAGUUGACGGGCCAACAUCAGUUUUGACUGCUGGAAAAAUUCCAUUGGAAUGUGGCACCUCCGGGUGUGUUAUAGCCUUUGGUUGUAUACAGUGGUUGGGACUGAGGACCGCAGCACGCCUUAUGGCCGGGGUUCGCCCACGUACGUGCUUAGGAUGUUGGCGUAAUGGCUUUAAGCGACCCGUCUUGAAACACGGACCAAGGAGUCUAACAUGCCUGCGAGUGUUUGGGUGGAAAACCCGAGCGCGCAAUGAAAGUGAAAGUUGGGAUCCCUGUCGUGGGGAGCACCGACGCCCAUACCAGACCUACUGUGACGGAUAUGCGGUUGAGCAUGUAUGUUGGGACCCGAAAGAUGGUGAACUAUGCCUGAAUAGGGUGAAGCCAGAGGAAACUCUGGUGGAGGCUCGUAGCGAUUCUGACGUGCAAAUCGAUCGUCAAAUUUGG